RNAcentral lists this transfer RNA (73 nucleotides) under Marmota monax (woodchuck). Its description in RNAcentral is "tRNA.Thr". It matches the Rfam family "tRNA". Rfam says of the family: Transfer RNA (tRNA) molecules are approximately 80 nucleotides in length. Their secondary structure includes four short double-helical elements and three loops (D, anti-codon, and T loops). Further hydrogen bonds mediate the characteristic L-shaped molecular structure. tRNAs have two regions of fundamental functional importance: the anti-codon, which is responsible for specific mRNA codon recognition, and the 3' end, to which the tRNAs corresponding amino acid is attached (by aminoacyl-tRNA synthetases). tRNAs cope with the degeneracy of the genetic code in two manners: having more than one tRNA (with a specific anti-codon) for a particular amino acid; and 'wobble' base-pairing, i.e. permitting non-standard base-pairing at the 3rd anti-codon position. Lineage: Eukaryota; Metazoa; Chordata; Mammalia; Rodentia; Sciuridae. The record is from RNAcentral.
UGGCAUGUGGCUUAGUGGUAGAGCACUUGCUUAGUGUGCAAGAGGCCCUGGGUUCAAUUCCCCAGCACUGCAA